This 2640-nucleotide ribosomal RNA is filed under the name Triticum aestivum (bread wheat). Its description in RNAcentral is "partial small subunit ribosomal RNA". The record is from RNAcentral. Lineage: Eukaryota; Viridiplantae; Streptophyta; Magnoliopsida; Poales; Poaceae.
AUGCAGUAUACAGAGAAAAAUAGUAAAGCAAAUCUGAUGUUCCAUUUCAUGGGUGAUAUUUUAUCUGCAGCUCUUUUGUGCUUUAUUGCCCAGAUAUCCAAUAUGGCAGAGGUGAUUAUAUCAAGCCUUGCAAUCUCAGUUCUCCGAAAGGCCACAUCUUCUGGCAGUGAAUGGGCCGUUAAUGAGUUCAAGUCGUCCUGGAAUAUCAAGAAAGAGCUUGAAAAGUUGGAAAGGUCACUGAGUUCCAUCUGUGGUGUUCUUGAAGAUGCCGAGGGCAAACAGUCAACUUCUCAUGCUCUUAAAGAGUGGUUAGACAAUUUGAAGGAUGCAGUCUACGACAUAGAUGAUGUUCUGGAUGGCGUGGCCACCCGAGCUCUAGAGCAAAAGGUUCAUACAGGAUUCUUCAUUCGAAUGAGCCACAUGCUUGCUUUUCCAUUCAAAUUGAGCCACAUGAUAAAAGAUGUCCGUGAAAAACUUGAUGAGAUAGCAUCCAACAGAUCAAAAUUUGGAUUAACAUGCCAUCUAAUUGGUAACCAUGUAUCCAGGUGCAGUAACAGGGAAACACAUUCCUUUAUUAAUGAAAAAUAUAUUAUUGGAAGAGAUGAUGCUAAAGACAAUAUUGUCAAAGUUAUAUUGACUGCUGCAAACUCAAAUUCUUUGUCUGUGCUUCCUAUAGUUGGUUUGGGAGGGAUAGGAAAAACUGCAUUGGCCAAGUUGGUAUACAAUGAUGCACGGACUAGCAAGAAGUUUGAAAGGAAGUUAUGGGCAUGUGUCUCUGAUGUAUUUGAUCUUCACAAGAUCUUAGAUGACAUAAUACAAUCUGGUACCGGUGAAAGCAACAAACAACUAAACCUGGAAAUGUUACAGCGCAAGUUGCGUGGGAUUUUACAGGAGAAGAGAUAUUUUCUUGUACUUGAUGACAUGUGGAAUGAUCAAGUUUCUGACUGGGAAGAGUUGAGAAGCCUGCUUUCCAGUGGUGGUAGUGGAAGUGUGAUUGUAGUCACCACGCGCAGUUCAAAUGUUGCAUCCCUGGUGAAGACCCUGGAACAAUAUGACGUUACAAAAUUACCGCAUGAUGAGUGUAUGGAAGUAUUUGUUCGGUGCGCAUUCAGAGAUGGCAGUGAAAAAGACCCCAAGUUGCUAAAACUGGGGAACUCCAUUGUUAAAAAAUGUUGUGGUGUUCCUUUGGCAGCAAAGACACUGGGUUCCCUGUUGUGUAAUAGUCGAAAUGUUGAAGAAUGGCGGCGCAUCGACGAAAACAAACUGUGGAACAUUGAGGGAAGCAUAAAUGGUAUCUUGACAGCAUUAAAAUUGAGUUAUGAUGCACUUCCGCCUCAUCUGCGAGCGUGUUUCGCUUGCCUAUCAACUUUCCCGAAGGACUACCAUAUGUUUACGAAUCACCUUGUUAUGUUCUGGAUGGCAUUGGGGUUGUUGCACCGGGGCAGUGAAAGCCAUGAGACGUUAACUAAUGGAGCAAAAUACUUCCAUGAACUUCUUGAUAGGUCCCUUUUACAAGACCAAUAUAUUCUUUACGAUGGCAGCAUUCAGAAAUGUAAAAUGCAUGAUCUUGUUCAUGAUCUAGCAAUAUCGGUGUCCAGAAAUGAGUGUGCUCUUGUUAGUUGUGAAAAGGUUGCAGUGUCUGAAAGAGUUAGGCAUCUAGUGUGGGACCGCGAGGACUUCUCAGUGGAUCUGAAAUUUCCUAAGCAGCUGAAAAGGGCACGUAAGGCGAGAACAUUUGCAAGCAGAUACAAUUAUGGUACCGUGAGCAAAGCCUUCCUCGAGGACCUAUUCUCUACAUUCACACUCCUGCGUGUCUUGAUUUUCUCUUAUGUUGAAUUUGAAGAGCUACCGAGUUCAGUUGCAAAUCUGAGGCAUCUGAGGUACCUAGAUCUACAAUGGAACAAGAAAAUCAGAAUCCUACCGAAUUCCUUAUGUAGAUUGGUGAAUCUACAAACAGUUCAUCUUGGCCGGUGCAGCCAAUUUGAUGAGCUACCAGGACGUAUGGAUGAACUUGUCAACCUUACGUUCUUGGUCCUCACGUCAAAACAAAAGAAUUUACUAAAAAGUGGGUUUUGUGGUUGGUCUUCCAUGACAUUUCUAUAUUUGAGCGGCUGCACCGAGUUAGUAUCACUCACAGAAGGAUUUGGUAGCCUCACUGCUCUCCGAGAGUUGCUCAUCUUCAACUGCCCAAAGCUCGCUUCUCUCCCCUCUUCCAUGAAGCAGCUCUGUGUGCUUGAGAAGUUGGUGAUUAGUAACUGCCAAGAGCUUGAUCUGAUGGAACCAGUAGGAGCCUUGAGUGGGCUGGGAAACCUACAUGUGCUUACUCUCGUUGAGCUUCCAAAGCUCGUGGGCUUUCCAGAGAGCUUCAAAUCUUGUGUGUUAUCUCUUCAGUUUGUCCUGAUUCGCGAUUGCAAAGGGCUUGAGAAGCUGCCGAGCUUCAUUCGAGAUUUCACUUGUCUUAAGAAAAUUUUAAUUCAGGACUGCCCUAAGUUGAGCAGGAGAUGCACGGCUGAAUCCGGGGAGGAUUAUCAUCUCAUCCGCGGUAUCCCUGUCAUACACAUCGAUGGAGACACUUGUGAAGGGAGACACGAGGCUCUAACAAGCACAUAUAUCAUAAAUCCUGAUGGAAGAAAUGCGUGA